GCAAGUCGAGGGGUAACAGGGAGAGCUUGCUUUCUGCUGACGACCGGCGCACGGGUGCGUAACGCGUAUACAAUCUGCCUAUCACUGAGGGAUAGCCCGAAGAAAUUUGGAUUAAUACCUCAUAGUAUUAUAGAAUCGCAUGGUUUUAUAAUUAAAGGUUACGGUGAUAGAUGAGUAUGCGUCCUAUUAGCUAGAUGGAGAGGUAAAGGCUCCCCAUGGCUACGAUAGGUAGGGGUCCUGAGAGGGAGAUCCCCCACACUGGUACUGAGACACGGACCAGACUCCUACGGGAGGCAGCAGUGAGGAAUAUUGGACAAUGGGCGCAAGCCUGAUCCAGCCAUGCCGCGUGUAGGAAGACGGCCCUAUGGGUUGUAAACUACUUUUAUACGGGAAGAAACCUAUCCUCGUGAGGAUAGCUGACGGUACCGUAAGAAUAAGCACCGGCUAACUCCGUGCCAGCAGCCGCGGUAAUACGGAGGGUGCAAGCGUUAUCCGGAAUCAUUGGGUUUAAAGGGUCCGUAGGCGGGCUAAUAAGUCAGUGGUGAAAUGCAGGGGCUCAACUCCGGCACUGCCAUUGAUACUGUUAGUCUUGAAUUAUUGUGAAGUGGUUAGAAUAUGUAGUGUAGCGGUGAAAUGCUUAGAUAUUACAUAGAAUACCGAUUGCGAAGGCAGAUCACUAACAAUAUAUUGACGCUGAUGGACGAAAGCGUGGGUAGCGAACAGGAUUAGAUACCCUGGUAGUCCACGCCGUAAACGAUGGUUACUAGCUGUUUGGACGAAUUGACGUCUGAGUGGCCAAGCGAAAGUGAUAAGUAACCCACCUGGGGAGUACGUUCGCAAGAAUGAAACUCAAAGGAAUUGACGGGGGCCCGCACAAGCGGUGGAGCAUGUGGUUUAAUUCGAUGAUACGCGAGGAACCUUACCAGGGCUUAAAUGUAGUAUGACAGAUUUGGAAACAGAUUUUUCUUCGGACAUAUUACAAGGUGCUGCAUGGUUGUCGUCAGCUCGUGCCGUGAGGUGUCAGGUUAAGUCCUAUAACGAGCGCAACCCCUAUUGCUAGUUGCCAGCGAGUCAUGUCGGGGACUCUAGCGAGACUGCCGGUGCAAACCGUGAGGAAGGUGGGGAUGACGUCAAAUCAUCACGGCCCUUACGUCCUGGGCCACACACGUGCUACAAUGGUAGGGACAGAGAGCAGCCACCACGCGAGUGGGAGCGAAUCUAUAAACCCUAUCACAGUUCGGAUCGUAGUCUGCAACUCGACUACGUGAAGCUGGAAUCGCUAGUAAUCGCAUAUCAGCCAUGAUGCGGUGAAUACGUUCCCGGGCCUUGUACACACCGCCCGUCAAGCCAUGGAAGCUGGGGGUACCUGAAGUCGGUGACCGCAAGGAGCUGCCUAGGGUA
Molecule: ribosomal RNA, 1401 nt
Filed under: Nonlabens ulvanivorans
Lineage: Bacteria; Pseudomonadati; Bacteroidota; Flavobacteriia; Flavobacteriales; Flavobacteriaceae
Description: 16S ribosomal RNA
Rfam family: Bacterial small subunit ribosomal RNA
Source: RNAcentral